This 493-nucleotide ribosomal RNA is filed under the name uncultured bacterium. RNAcentral describes it as "bacterial SSU rRNA". It matches the Rfam family "Bacterial small subunit ribosomal RNA", at positions 28 to 526 of the family's 1533-position model. The record is from RNAcentral.
GACGAACGCUGGCGGCGUGCUUAACACAUGCAAGUCGAGCGGAAAGGCUCCUUCGGGGGUACUCGAGCGGCGAACGGGUGAGUAACACGUGAGUAAUCUGCCCUUCACUUCGGGAUAGCCACCGGAAACGGUGAUUAAUACCGGAUAUGACCUGGCCUCGCAUGGGGUUGGGUGGAAAGUUUUUUCGGUGGGGGAUGUGCUCGCGGCCUAUCAGCUUGUUGGUGGGGUAAUGGCUCACCAAGGCUUCGACGGGUAGCCGGCCUGAGAGGGUGACCGGCCACACUGGGACUGAGACACGGCCCAGACUCCUACGGGAGGCAGCAGUGGGGAAUAUUGGACAAUGGGCGGAAGCCUGAUCCAGCAACGCCGCGUGAGGGAUGACGGCCUUCGGGUUGUAAACCUCUUUCGCCAUUGACGAAGCCGCACUUUGGUGUGGUGACGGUAGGUGGAGAAGAAGCACCGGCCAACUACGUGCCAGCCGCCGCCGUAACAC